GAUGAACGCUAGCGGCAGGCUUAAUACAUGCAAGUCGAACGGUAAGUUUGGUAGCAAUAUCAAACCAAGAGUGACGUACGGGUGCGUAACACGUAUGCAACCUACCUUGUACAGGAGUAUAGCUCGGGGAAACUCGAAUUAACCCUCCAUGAGAUCACAGUGUGGCAUCACACAGUGAUUAAAACUCAGGUGGUACAAGAUGGGCAUGCGUCUGAUUAGUUAGUUGGCGGGGUAAUGGCCCACCAAGACGAUGAUCAGUAGGGGACCUGAGAGGGUGAUCCCCCACACUGGCACUGAGAUACGGGCCAGACUCCUACGGGAGGCAGCAGUAGGGAAUAUUGGUCAAUGGAUGCAAGUCU
Molecule: ribosomal RNA, 359 nt
Filed under: uncultured bacterium
Lineage: Bacteria
Description: bacterial SSU rRNA
Rfam family: Bacterial small subunit ribosomal RNA
Source: RNAcentral